This 224-nucleotide long non-coding RNA is filed under the name Drosophila guanche. Lineage: Eukaryota; Metazoa; Arthropoda; Insecta; Diptera; Drosophilidae. The record is from RNAcentral.
UGGUAUUAAAGUUCCUCUGAAUUACAAUUCAAUACACUCGGACUUUGAAUUUCUAAUAGUUUCGUUUAUCCAACAGGAUAUAAUAUGUGGAAUGGACUUUUGGAAAAGGUUUGGCAUUUCUAUCGUUAAAUCAUCAUCAUGGACAGUAAGCGAGUUAUCCUUUCAAUCCGAGCACGAGUUGCUCAAGUUAGCCAUGUCGAUUUCUCAAAAGAAGCAGUUACAGC